RNAcentral lists this ribosomal RNA (384 nucleotides) under uncultured bacterium. Its description in RNAcentral is "bacterial SSU rRNA". It matches the Rfam family "Bacterial small subunit ribosomal RNA", at positions 350 to 751 of the family's 1533-position model. The record is from RNAcentral.
AGCAGUGGGGAAUAUUGGACAAUGGGCGAAAGCCUGAUCCAGCAAUGCCGCGUGAGUGAUGAAGGCCUUAGGGUUGUAAAGCUCUUUUACCCGGGAUGAUAAUGACAGUACCGGGAGAAUAAGCUCCGGCUAACUCCGUGCCAGCAGCCGCGGUAAUACGGAGGGAGCUAGCGUUAUUCGGAAUUACUGGGCGUAAAGCGCACGUAGGCGGCUUUGUAAGUAAGAGGUGAAAGCCCAGAGCUCAACUCUGGAAUUGCCUUUUAGACUACAUCGCUUGAAUCAUGGAGAGGUCAGUGGAAUUCCGAGUGUAGAGGUGAAAUUCGUAGAUAUUCGGAAGAACACCAGUGGCGAAGGCGGCUGACUGGACAUGUAUUGACGCUGAGG